RNAcentral lists this non-coding RNA (772 nucleotides) under Ornithodoros waterbergensis. Lineage: Eukaryota; Metazoa; Arthropoda; Arachnida; Ixodida; Argasidae. The record is from RNAcentral.
AAAGUUAGCAACGGGAAUGCUUUUUUACAAUAUAUCUCUUCUCUCUUUAGUAUAAUUUAAAAAAACUAAAGAGAGAAGAGAAAAUAUUUAUAUAGUAAAUAAUAUUUGCAUUUUAAACUCUUUAUGUUAAAAUUAGAUGAUUUUUUAAUAGAAGAUUCAUUUAUUAGUUUUGUAAUUCAAAAAUAGGUUUGGAAUUAUCUCAGGCAAAGCCUGUGCCAGCCGCCGCGGUUAUACAGGCUGGGGAAAAGUAUUGCUGUUAUAAUAAUAAAAUUUAUAUGGAUAUUUUUUUUAAUUAGGUGAAAUUUUUAUAUAAAUUUAUGUUUUUGUUUUAAGGAAAUUUUUGGUUUAAAUUAGGAUUAGAUACCCUAUUAUUCUAAAAUUUGAGGUUGGUAGUGUUUUUAGAUUUUUAAAUCUAAAGAUUAUGGCGGUAUUUUAAGCUAUUUAGAGGAAUUUAUUCUUUGAUAGAUAAAACUCAAAAAUCUUACUUAAAUUGGUCAAGCAGCUUGUAUAUCGCUAUCAGGGAAUGAUGUUGAUUGAUUAAUAAUUAAGAUUACAUUUAGUAAAAAUGUUAGGUCAAAAUGCAGUAAAAGUUUAAGGUUGAAAUAAAUUACUUCUAUUAAUAUAAGGAAUAUUGAAAGGUAAGUUUAGGAUUUAAAAGUAAAUUGGAAUUAUAAUGUUUAGUUGAAUUUAGCUCUAAAAUAUGCACAUAUCGCCCGUCACUCUCAGUGAUGAGAUAAGUCGUAACAAAGUAAAGGUACCGGAAGGUGUUUUU